UCUCGGGGGGCUGCAGUGGGGAAUAUUGGACAAUGGGCGAAAGCCUGAUCCAGCCAUGCCGCGUGUGUGAAGAAGGCCUUCGGGUUGUAAAGCACUUUCAGUGGGGAAGAAAGCCUUGGGGCUAAUACCCUCGAGGAAGGACAUCACCCACAGAAGAAGCACCGGCUAACUCCGUGCCAGCAGCCGCGGUAAUACGGAGGGUGCGAGCGUUAAUCGGAAUUACUGGGCGUAAAGCGCGCGUAGGCGGUCUGAUAAGCCGGUUGUGAAAGCCCCGGGCUCAACCUGGGAACGGCAUCCGGAACUGUCAGGCUAGAGUGCAGGAGAGGAAGGUAGAAUUCCCGGUGUAGCGGUGAAAUGCGUAGAGAUCGGGAGGAAUACCAGUGGCGAAGGCGGCCUUCUGGACUGACACUGACGCUGAGGUGCGAAAGCGUGGGUAGCAAACAGGAUUAGAUACCCCUGUAGUC
RNAcentral lists this ribosomal RNA (464 nucleotides) under Vreelandella stevensii. RNAcentral describes it as "partial 16S ribosomal RNA". It matches the Rfam family "Bacterial small subunit ribosomal RNA", at positions 339 to 795 of the family's 1533-position model. The record is from RNAcentral. Lineage: Bacteria; Pseudomonadati; Pseudomonadota; Gammaproteobacteria; Oceanospirillales; Halomonadaceae.